Molecule: ribosomal RNA, 468 nt
Filed under: uncultured bacterium
Lineage: Bacteria
Description: partial 16S ribosomal RNA
Rfam family: Bacterial small subunit ribosomal RNA
Source: RNAcentral
GACGAACGCUGGCGGCGUGCUUAACACAUGCAAGUCGAACGGAAAGGCCCUGCUUUUGUGGGGUGCUCGAGUGGCGAACGGGUGAGUAACACGUGAGUAACCUGCCCUUGACUUUGGGAUAACUUCAGGAAACUGGGGCUAAUACCGGAUAGGAGCUCCUGCUGCAUGGUGGGGGUUGGAAAGUUUCGGCGGUUGGGGAUGGACUCGCGGCUUAUCAGCUUGUUGGUGGGGUAGUGGCUUACCAAGGCUUUGACGGGUAGCCGGCCUGAGAGGGUGACCGGCCAAAUUGGGACUGAGAUACGGCCCAGACUCCUACGGGAGGGAGCAGUGGGGAAUAUUGCACAAUGGGCGGAAGCCUGAUGCAGCAACGCCGCGUGCGGGAUGACGGCCUUCGGGUUGUAAACCGCUUUCGCCUGUGACGAAGCGUGAGUGACGGUAAUGGGUAAAGAAGCACCGGCUAACUACGUG